This 492-nucleotide ribosomal RNA is filed under the name uncultured bacterium. RNAcentral describes it as "partial 16S ribosomal RNA". It matches the Rfam family "Bacterial small subunit ribosomal RNA", at positions 29 to 507 of the family's 1533-position model. The record is from RNAcentral.
AGUGAACGCUGGCGUUAGGCCUAACACAUUCAAGUCGAACGUCAGCACAGUAAUAGCUUUCUCUUACGGGUUGCGAGUGUCUGACUGUUUAGGACUACCUCGGCAUCUACUUUUUCGUGGGGGAUAACGUAGGGAAACUUACGCUAAUACCGCAUCCUACCUACGUGUGAACGUAGGUGAUCUUCGGCCCUUGCGCGAUUGAAUUUGCCGAUGUCGUAUUAGCUAGUUGGCGGGGUAACGGCCCACCAAGGCGACGAUCCGUAGCUGGUCUGAGAGGAUGAUCAGCCACACUGGAACUGAGACACGGUCCAGACUCCUACGGGAGGCAGCAGUGGGGAAUAUUGGACAAUGGGCGCAAGCCUGAUCCAGACAGAACGCGUGGGUGAAGAAGGCCUUCGGGUUGUAAAGAACGUUUGUUGGGAAAGAAAAGCAGCAGGUUAAUACAGCGCUGUUAUGACGGUACCCAAAGAAUAAGCACCGGCUAACUUCGUG